Molecule: ribosomal RNA, 403 nt
Filed under: uncultured bacterium
Lineage: Bacteria
Description: partial 16S ribosomal RNA
Rfam family: Bacterial small subunit ribosomal RNA
Source: RNAcentral
AUUGAACGCUGGCGGCAGGCCUAACACAUGCAAGUCGAGCGAGUGGCGGACGGGUGAGUAAUGUAUGGGGACUGCCCGAUAGAGGGGGCUAACUACUGGAAACGGUGGCUAAUACCGCAUACUAUCGGAUAACCCAUAUGGGAUUAGCUUGUAGGUGGGGUAAAGGCUCACCUAGGCGACGAUCUCUAGCUGGUCUGAGAGGAUGAACAGACACACUGGGACUGAGAAACGGCCCAGACUCCUACGGAGGCAGCAGUGGGGAAUAUUGCACAAUGGGGGCAAGCCUGAUGCAGCCAUGCCGCGUGUAUGAAGAAGGCCUUAGGGUUGGAAAGUACUUUCAGCGGGGAGGCGUUACCCGCAGAAGAAGCACCGGCUAACUCCGUUCCAGCAGCCGCGGUAAUUC